GAUGAACGCUGGCGGCGUGCUUAACACAUGCAAGUCGAACGGAAAGGCCCAAGCUUGCUUGGGUACUCGAGUGGCGAACGGGUGAGUAACACGUGGGUGAUCUGCCCUGCACUUCGGGAUAAGCCUGGGAAACUGGGUCUAAUACCGGAUAGGACCACAUUUUGGAUGGUGUGGUGGAAAGUUUUUCGGUGUGGGAUGAGCUCGCGGCCUAUCAGCUUGUUGGUGUGGUAAUGGCCUACCAAGGCGUCGACGGGUAGCCGGCCUGAGAGGGUGUACGGCCACAUUGGGACUGAGAUACGGCCCAGACUCCUACGGGAGGCAGCAGUGGGGAAUAUUGCACAAUGGGCGCAAGCCUGAUGCAGCGACGCCGCGUGGGGGAUGACGGCCUUCGGGUUGUAAACUCCUUUCGCUAGGGACGAAGCGUUUUUGUGACGGUACCUGGAGAAGAAGCACCGGCUAACUACGUG
This 467-nucleotide ribosomal RNA is filed under the name uncultured bacterium. Its description in RNAcentral is "partial 16S ribosomal RNA". It matches the Rfam family "Bacterial small subunit ribosomal RNA", at positions 28 to 507 of the family's 1533-position model. The record is from RNAcentral.